GACGAACGCUGGCGGCGUGCCUAAUACAUGCAAGUUGAGCGCUGAAGGUUGGUACUUGUACCGACUGGAUGAGCAGCGAACGGGUGAGUAACGCGUGGGGAAUCUGCCUUUGAGCGGGGGACAACAUUUGGAAACGAAUGCUAAUACCGCAUAAAAACUUUAAACACAAGUUUUAAGUUUGAAAGAUGCAAUUGCAUCACUCAAAGAUGAUCCCGCGUUGUAUUAGCUAGUUGGUGAGGUAAAGGCUCACCAAGGCGAUGAUACAUAGCCGACCUGAGAGGGUGAUCGGCCACAUUGGGACUGAGACACGGCCCAAACUCCUACGGGAGGCAGCAGUAGGGAAUCUUCGGCAAUGGACGAAAGUCUGACCGAGCAAAGCCGCGUGAGUGAAGAAGGUUUUCGGAUCGUAAAACUCUGUUGGUAGAGAAGAACGUUGGUGAGAGUGGAAAGCUCAUCAAGUGACGGUAACUACACAGAAAGGGACGGCUAACUACGUG
RNAcentral lists this ribosomal RNA (497 nucleotides) under uncultured bacterium. Its description in RNAcentral is "partial 16S ribosomal RNA". It matches the Rfam family "Bacterial small subunit ribosomal RNA", at positions 28 to 507 of the family's 1533-position model. The record is from RNAcentral.